GUCUCCCAUCCAAGUACUAACCAGGCCCGACCCUGCUGAGCUUCUGAGAUCAGAUGAGACUGGGUGCCUUCAGGGUGGUAUGGCC
This 85-nucleotide small RNA is filed under the name Cricetulus griseus (Chinese hamster). The record is from RNAcentral. Lineage: Eukaryota; Metazoa; Chordata; Mammalia; Rodentia; Cricetidae.